This 448-nucleotide ribosomal RNA is filed under the name uncultured bacterium. RNAcentral's name for it is "bacterial SSU rRNA". It matches the Rfam family "Bacterial small subunit ribosomal RNA", at positions 355 to 825 of the family's 1533-position model. The record is from RNAcentral.
UGGGGAAUCUUGGACAAUGGGCGCAAGCCUGAUCCAGCCAUGCCGCGUGAGUGAUGAAGGCCUUAGGGUUGUAAAGCUCUUUUGCCGGGGACGAUAAUGACGGUACCCGGAGAAUAAGUCCCGGCUAACUUCGUGCCAGCAGCCGCGGUAAUACGAAGGGGACUAGCGUUGUUCGGAAUCACUGGGCGUAAAGCGCACGUAGGCGGAUUUGUAAGUCAGGGGUGAAAUCCCGGGGCUCAACCUCGGAACUGCCCUUUGAUACUGCGGAUCUCGAGUCCGAUAGAGGUGAGUGGAAUUCCUAGUGUAGAGGUGAAAUUCGUAGAUAUUAGGAAGAACACCGGUGGCGAAGGCGGCUCACUGGAUCGGUACUGACGCUGAGGUGCGAAAGCGUGGGGAGCAAACAGGAUUAGAUACCCCCGUAGUCCCUGAGCGGGCUGGCAAGGCGCAU